Nematostella vectensis (starlet sea anemone) is the source of this 71-nucleotide non-coding RNA. The record is from Rfam. NCBI's taxonomy places the organism in Eukaryota, Metazoa, Cnidaria, Anthozoa, Actiniaria, Edwardsiidae.
GCACUGGUGGGUCAGUGGUAGAAUUCUCGCCUGCCACGCGGGAGGCCCGGGUUCGAUUUCCGGCCAGUGCA